UAUCAAUAUCACCCCAAAGACGAACUCGAAAUCUGAAGAUAGAUUUGAAAGCAAAGUGAUCAUGCAAUGAAAAAACUGAAAAAUCUAAAAUUAACAAGUAUCUCAGAGCAGACUAUUCUAUAUCACCACAACCUGCGGAUAAACAUAACCCAGAGCAACGGUCGAGGGAAGGAAAAUCAAAUCUCAAUUAGUAAAACAGGGACAAGAUUCUUCAUAUAAGCACAGUGUGGGAGGAUAAUCAAACUCGAAGCACUUUCUUCUACCCUGAAAAUAACCAAAUCCUGACAAGAUAAAACAUUGAUCCGACACAAAAUUGCAUGAUUAUACACACACACAUGUUGCUACAUAACCGAACAUCAUACCCUAUACAUUGCCGCAUCAAAAUCACCGUAGAAAAGCACAAUCAAACCCUCUCGCAAAGAGGAGAAAUUGUUAUACCGGCGAAAUCACCCAAAUAAAAUUAAACAGAACCACAACAAGACAGGAAUCGGAUAAGAGAGAACAAAAGAAGUAUACAACUGAGAAGUACAAACCGUUUGCAAUCCCAAUUCCAAAAAUUUCAGAAUUUAAAAAUUAAAAACACCUUAUAAAAAUCAAUAACAUGAAUUCCACCGAUGACCAGUUGUGAAUCGCCCACAAAAAAAAAAAAAAAAGCAAUAGAACGAGAUCUAAGAAAACAAAGAUUACAAGUUAUUAUGAUUCAGAACUUAUUCAAUAUCGAUUUCAUGCAUGACCCAAAGACUAAAAUUCCAUUUCUAACGAAUAUUUAGAAAAAUGGGAAAAUUCACAGUUAGAUUUUCUGUGCCCUCCUCCUUUACCCGGGCUUGGGACCGGCUGUGCUGAGCAAAUAAAAUAUUGCACGCACAGGCGGAGUUACAAGAAUAAACCUACAUACAACUAGCAACACUAAAAACACACACAAUCACACAUAGAUAUAAGCAAGCAAAUUGUACAUACCGUUCCAGACAACAAAUAUUAAAGCUGAGAAAUAGUUUGAUUCAUAUACGAUAGUAGAUCGGAUAAAAGCUUAGUUACUUAUAAAAACUUUUGCACUCGUUUCAAUCAUUCAUUUCCCUGUUCUUUCUUCUAAUUAUUGUGGAGAACAUUAGAGAUAAAGGAAACACCUCAUGUGAAAAAAAUUACCAAAGUCGUAUCCAAGAAGACAUAAAUUUUAUCAAAUAAGGUAAACUAAUACUUACAUAUUUACGCAGAAACAAACCUUAAAUCAAAUAAAUUCACCGAGACUUGAAAAAAAUACAUCACUUUAGCAUAUUACCAGUGUUAGAGAAGAACAUUAACUCACAAUCUGCAAAAAGACAAUUUCACACACUUGAAAAUUCUCACAUAGUACAAAUCACGAUAAAGAAGUGACCAAGAACUGUGCAGAAUGGUAAUCCAAAGCAUAUUCAAUAGAUUCUAAACAUCCUCAAAACAGCAGAGCAGCAAAUCUAAUUAUCCUAGCUCAUAAGAAUCACAACAUACGAGCAGAAACAAAGGCCCUAACAGUCGACUUCAAAUACUACUUGACAACUGAACGAGGUUUAUUAUUCUGAGAUGCAUAGUGCCAACUUAGAUUGCCUAGAAAAAUUGCCAGGAAAAAAAACCUUAACUUGCACAAUGCAUAUAAGACCACUUCAAGAUUUACUCAGGUCUUUCUCUUACGAGAAAGCUGACCUGUUCACAUGAUCCAUAAGAGGCUAUAGUUUCGUAAAAUUAGAUUUUCAUCACUCCUGUAGUUAGCUUUAGAAUAAAGAUGAAACUAGCACAACUUCCUAAAGACCACAAAUCAAAGGUACCAAAUGGUUGGACAACACCGUCAUUUUUGUUGCAAGUUUCUGCAAAUAGAAAGGAAAAACGAUAUAGGAUUUGUAGCCUAAAAAAGAAUAGAUUAUGGAGGGAUUCGAAGAAUAUUAACUUACCAUCACUAUCGUACUCACCACCACUCGUCGAUCAACACAGCCCAAACCAUCUUAUGUAGCAACUGAACCUCUCAAAACAUAACACAAAAUUGUCAUACAAGCAAAUUCACGUAAAGAUGGAGAAAUGCUCAAAGCUCGAAACACUUUCCUCUAUCCAGAAUCCUAUGACCGCACAGAAUUAAAAAAAAAUCAAACCAGCCAACAACCAGACCAAGAUGGGAAAACAUGAACCAAAUCCAAACCACAGUGCCAGAUCAAUUACCUUGCCAGAUCAUAACCAAACAUCAUAAAUACCUUGCCAGAUCAAUUAUCAUUCAAAGAAGACCUAGACAGUGCCACAGACAAAAGAAACAUAUAACAGAGGCUCCCGAUAAUUAGACUGUAAGACCAGCAAAACCACCCAAAUCAGAACCAAAAACAGAAAGGCACGAAAGAACUUUAGCUAAAACAAGAGUUAGAUUAUCUUCACCAUUAAGUAUCCAUCACAUCUGUAGCUUUACAUAAGAGACUCUGACUCAUUUUCCAACGGUUUGCUUAAGAAAUAGUAAAAUCAGAUUCAUCAUUCCUAUAGAACAUGUAGUUUCAGAUACUAAAAUUGAACUACGACACUUCCCUUCAGCCACAAAAUUAAAUUAUCUUCCCACUUAGUCAAUAGGCCAGAGUAAUGCAGAUGGAACUAGCAAAACUUUCUUUAAACCCCAAAACAGAAGGCCCACCAUCAUUUUUGUUGCAAAUGUCUGCAGACAGAAAGGAAAAGAAGAACAGAGGAUUGAAGAUUGAUUUGAAAGCAAUAUGAAAGUUGGACGAAAAGGUGAUUGUUGAGGGAGACAUUAGAAAAUACUCUCUCAAAGAACCGGAGACGCAUCUCACUAAGCCACUACCUGCCGAUCAAAACACAUUUUGCAACCAGAAGCAAGAAAUUUUUCAUGACAUAAAUAAAUCAGAAAUUAAAUUAUCUUCCCCAUUAGGUUGUCCGUUAAUUAGACUCAACCUCAGAUCCAACUGCACUAAUCCAUCUUUUGCCGAAGCAAUGGGUUAUCCUGUCCAAAGAUGGAACUACCGCAGACCCCUAAAAUACACAAACAAAAGUUAACAAAUGCGAGGACAUCCACCAUCAAUUUAGCUUCAAGAGGAAAAGCGAAGCCGGGAUUUGAAGAUGAAUUUUAAAAAGUCAAAACGAUUCUAAAAUUUGGGUGAUAAGGAUAAUUACAAAGAGACAGAAGGUAAUAUAAACUUAGAAUCAAACUGGUCAACAUCUGAAACCGACAAGGCACAUCUUGGCGCCCUAAUUUGUCGCCACCUGCUGACUAUCAACACGAUCAAAACCAAAGGUCCAGAACAGCAUCUUGCUAUUGUUAUUAUUCUUUAGACGAGACAAAGAUUAAACAGGUAGGGACUCUUUCAUGGUAAAAUAGAAGUUCACCUGUACCAUAUACUCUGAUUCGCCUCAGCCAAACAUCUUACGUGGUAACCAAACUUCUCAGGACUUCACACAAAACUAUAAUAUACUCAAACUUGAAGCUUUAUUCUUCUACCAAAAAGCAUAUUUUAACCAUUUCCGACGAAUUCUACGGCACCUCAUAAAAGAAUCAAUGGACCAUCAGACCCAAACAAUUUGAAAAUAACCAAACAUCAAAAUCACCCAAGUAAGAACAGGAAAUGUUAUGGUCAUAUAACGUAGAAAUCUGAAAAUUGAAUGAUAAGAAUGAUUAUUACAUAAGAAUAUAUAAUCUGGAACUGACAAAAUCAUAUCCAGCAGUACACUCCACUAAACCCACUGAUCAACAUAUUACACAAUCAGAAACAAAAUAAAUUAUCUUGCCAUCAGAUCUCUAGCUUAAGCAAUUGGCGAUCCUAUCCAAAUUAUCCAGGUGUACAUAAGCUCUAGUAAAAUCAGAUCCGACGUUCUAGUUGCACAGUUAGCUUAGCCCCAUAAAAUAAAGAUGAAACAAGCACAACCUUCGUAAAGCCACAAAACAGAAAGUACCAAAUAGUAGGACGGGCACCAAAACGUUUGUUGCAAAUUUCUGCAAACAAGUAGGAAAAGCAGUAAAGGGAUUUAACAUAUACAUUAAAAAAAUUGUGAUAUAAAGUUAGAAAAAUGAGGAGGAUGAGGAAGAAAGAGAAAGCGAGAUUGAACAAUAUCUGGAACUGACGGGUGUCUCAGAAAUAUCGUAUCGGUAUUGCACAUAUAUACAUAUCAUAAGGAGAAUCAAAUCUCAAUCAGAAGAUUCCGAGACAAAUAGGUUGAACAUCCGGUCGUAUAUGGUUGUAUAUGCAUAUCAAAAGGAAGAAACUUUAACAGACACUCUUGCUUAGAAUCAUCAGCCAAAACAUCUUAUACCGACCUUGUCAGAGGAACAGAACAACACAAUUAUGACGAGGAGAGAACAUACUCGUAUUCAAAGCGCUUUCUUCUACAAAGAAUCAUAUUCAAGGUUGAGCGAAAAUCAAAUCAGCCGAUUACCAAACCCUAGCAAGAUAAAACACAAUCCAAACGCAAAAACCACUUGUUGAUGAAUAACCGAACAUCAUACCUAAUACCACGCCGGAUCAAAAUCACCAAAAGAAAACCAAUUCAGAAUCACAAUCAAACGACCGGCGAAGAAUCCACGACGCUCCGAUUGUCAGACCGGCAAAAUAACCCAGAUAAAUCAAAUCAGGACCCUACAAUCAGACGGUAUCGCGAAAGAGAAAAAAAAAACAUGGGACGGAUAAUCGCCGCUGAUUGAAUUGAAUUGCGCAGGUUUCAUAGCGACGAAAAUACAUAUACAAUCUGAAAAACGGAAACGACAAAUAAACAUCCGCAGAGAACCAAAGGCAAUCAAAC
RNAcentral lists this long non-coding RNA (4749 nucleotides) under Erythranthe guttata (spotted monkey flower). RNAcentral's name for it is "long non-coding RNA (EGUT_LNC003428)". Lineage: Eukaryota; Viridiplantae; Streptophyta; Magnoliopsida; Lamiales; Phrymaceae. The record is from RNAcentral.